CCUUAGGCAAAUCCGGGAUCACUUACGCCGAGCACCGAGACGAGUCCUAUGAGGACGAAGUGACUGACACCACGCUUCCAGGAAAAGCCACUAAGCUUCAGCUUAAGAAAAACCGUACCGCAAACCGACACAGGUAGGCAGGGUGAGAAUCCCAAGGCGCUUGAGAGAACUCGGGUGAAGGAACUAGGCAAAAUGGCACCGUAACUUCGGGAGAAGGUGCGCCCUUUGGUGUGGUCACGUGCGUGACUGAGCAUCGAAGGGUCGCAGUAACCUGGCCGCUGCGACUGUUUAUCAAAAACACAGCACUCUGCAAACACGAAAGUGGACGUAUAGGGUGUGACGCCUGCCCGGUGCUGGAAGGUUAAUUGAUGGGGUCAGCCGCAAGGCGAAGCUCUUGAUCGAAGCCCCAGUAAACGGCGGCCGUAACGAUAACGGUCCUAAGGUAGCGAAAUUCCUUGUCGGGUAAGUUCCGACCUGCACGAAUGGCGUAACGACAGCGGCGCUGUCUCCACCCGAGACUCAGUGAAAUUGAAAUCGCUGUGAAGAUGCAGCGUUCCCGCGGCAAGACGGAAAGACCCCGUGAACCUUUACUAUAGCUUUACACUGAACGUUGAGUUCUUCUGUGUAGGAUAGGUGGGAGGCUAUGAAACCAGGACGCUAGUUCUGGUGGAGCCAUCCUUGAAAUACCACCCUGAAGUGCUUGACGUUCUAACCUAGGCCCGUAAUCCGGGUCAGGGACCGUGUAUGGUGGGUAGUUUGACUGGGGCGGUCUCCUCCCAAAGAGUAACGGAGGAGCACGAAGGUACGCUCAGCGCGGUCGGACAUCGCGCACUGUGUGCAAAGGCAUAAGCGUGCUUGACUGCGAGAUCGACGGAUCAAGCAGGUACGAAAGUAGGUCUUAGUGAUCCGGUGGUUCUGUAUGGAAGGGCCAUCGCUCAACGGAUAAAAGGUACUCCGGGGAUAACAGGCUGAUACCGCCCAAGAGUUCAUAUCGACGGCGGUGUUUGGCACCUCGAUGUCGGCUCAUCACAUCCUGGGGCUGUAGCCGGUCCCAAGGGUAUGGCUGUUCGCCAUUUAAAGUGGUACGCGAGCUGGGUUCAGAACGUCGUGAGACAGUUCGGUCCCUAUCUGUCGUGGGCGUUGGAGAUUUGAGGGGGGCUGCUCCUAGUACGAGAGGACCGGAGUGGACGUUCCGCUGGUGUUCGGGUUGUCAUGCCCAUGGCAUUGCCCGGUAGCUACGAACGGAAGUGAUAACCGCUGAAAGCAUCUAAGCGGGAAGCACGCCCCAAGAUGAGAUCUCCCGAGAGCUUGACUCUCCUAAAGGCACCAUCAAGACUAGGUGGUUGAUAGGUCAGGUGUGGAAGCGCAGCAAUGCGUUGAGCUAACUGAUACUAAUGAGCCGUGAGGCUUGACCU
This 1415-nucleotide ribosomal RNA is filed under the name metagenome. RNAcentral describes it as "bacterial LSU rRNA". It matches the Rfam family "Bacterial large subunit ribosomal RNA", at positions 1530 to 2925 of the family's 2925-position model. The record is from RNAcentral.